Molecule: non-coding RNA, 69 nt
Organism: Podarcis lilfordi (Lilford's wall lizard)
Lineage: Eukaryota; Metazoa; Chordata; Lepidosauria; Squamata; Lacertidae
Source: the annotation of a GenBank genome assembly
GAAUAGCUCAGUUGGUAAAGUAUAAAACUCUUAAUCUGAGGGUUGUGGGUUCAAGCCCCAGAUUGGACA